GCCAGGCGUGGUGGUGCAUGCCUGUAAUUCCAGCUACUUGGGAGGCUGAGGCAGGAGAAUCGCUUGAACCCGGGAGGUGGAGGUUGCAGUGAGCUGAGAUGGCGCCACUGCACUCUAGUCUGGGUGACAGAGCGAGACUCUGUCUCAA
This 148-nucleotide non-coding RNA is filed under the name Gorilla gorilla gorilla (western lowland gorilla). The record is from Rfam by way of RNAcentral. Lineage: Eukaryota; Metazoa; Chordata; Mammalia; Primates; Hominidae.